UGGGGAAUCUUAGACAAUGGGCGCAAGCCUGAUCUAGCCAUGCCGCGUGAGUGAAGAAGCCUUAGGGUCGUAAAGCUCUUUCGCCUGUGAAGAUAAUGACUGUAGCAGGUAAAGAAACCCCGGCUAACUCCGUGCCAGCGCCGCGGUAAUACGGAGGGGGUUAGCGUUGUUCGGAAUUACUGGGCGUAAAGCGCGCGUAGGCGGACAUUUAAGUCAGAGGUGAAAUCCCAGGGCUCAACCCUGGAACUGCCUUUGAUACUGGGUGUCUUGAGUUCGAGAGAGGUGAGUGGAAUUCCGAGUGUAGAGGUGAAAUUCGUAGAUAUUCGGAGGAACACCAGUGGCGAAGGCGGCUCACUGGCUCGAUACUGACGCUGAGGUGCGAAAGUGUGGGGAGCAAACAGGAUUAGAUACCCUGGUAGUCCACACCGUAAACGAUGAAUGCCAGUCGUCGGGCAGUAUACUGUUCGGUGACACACCUAACGGAUUAAGCAUUCCGCCUGGGGAGUACGGCGC
This 513-nucleotide ribosomal RNA is filed under the name uncultured bacterium. RNAcentral's name for it is "bacterial SSU rRNA". It matches the Rfam family "Bacterial small subunit ribosomal RNA", at positions 355 to 888 of the family's 1533-position model. The record is from RNAcentral.